AGCGAACGCUGGCGGCAGGCCUAACACAUGCAAGUCGAACGGACCCUUCGGGGUUAGUGGCGGACGGGUGAGUAACACGUGGGAACGUGCCUUUUGGUUCGGAACAACUCAGGGAAACUUGAGCUAAUACCGAAUGUGCCCUUCGGGGAAAGGAUUUAUCGCCAUUAGAGCGGCCCGCGUCUGAUUAGCUUGUUGGUGAG
Molecule: ribosomal RNA, 200 nt
Filed under: uncultured bacterium
Lineage: Bacteria
Description: partial 16S ribosomal RNA
Rfam family: Bacterial small subunit ribosomal RNA
Source: RNAcentral